GACGAACGCUGGCGGCGUGCCUAAUACAUGCAAGUUGAGCGCUGAAGGUUCGUACUUGUACCAACUGGAUGAGCAGCGAACGGGUGAGUAACGCGUGGGGAAUCUGCCUUUGAGCGGGGGACAACAUUUGGAAACGAAUGCUAAUACCGCAUAAAAACUUUAAACACAAGUUUUAAGUUUGAAAGAUGCAAUUGCAUCACUCAAAGAUGAUCCCGCGUUGUAUUAGCUAGUUGGUGAGGUAAAGGCUCACCAAGGCGAUGAUACAUAGCCGACCUGAGAGGGUGAUCGGCCACAUUGGGACUGAGACACGGCCCAAACUCCUACGGGAGGCAGCAGUAGGGAAUCUUCGGCAAUGGACGAAAGUCUGACCGAGCAACGCCGCGUGAGUGAAGAAGGUUUUCGGAUCGUAAAACUCUGUUGGUAGAGAAGAACGUUGGUGAGAGUGGAAAGCUCAUCAAGUGACGGUAACUACCCAGAAAGGGACGGCUAACUACGU
RNAcentral lists this ribosomal RNA (496 nucleotides) under uncultured bacterium. Its description in RNAcentral is "partial 16S ribosomal RNA". It matches the Rfam family "Bacterial small subunit ribosomal RNA", at positions 28 to 506 of the family's 1533-position model. The record is from RNAcentral.